This 515-nucleotide ribosomal RNA is filed under the name uncultured bacterium. RNAcentral's name for it is "partial 16S ribosomal RNA". It matches the Rfam family "Bacterial small subunit ribosomal RNA", at positions 28 to 523 of the family's 1533-position model. The record is from RNAcentral.
GAUGAACGCUGGCGGCGUGCCUAAUACAUGCAAGUCGAGCGAAUGGAUUGAGAGCUUGCUCUUAUGAAGUUAGCGGCGGACGGGUGAGUAACACGUGGGUAACCUGCCCAUAAGACUGGGAUAACUCCGGGAAACCGGGGCUAAUACCGGAUAACAUUUUGAACCGCAUGGUUCGAAAUUGAAAGGCGGCUUCGGCUGUCACUUAUGGAUGGACCCGCGUCGCAUUAGCUAGUUGGUGAGGUAACGGCUCACCAAGGCAGCGAUGCGUAGCCGACAUGAGAGGGUGGUCGGCCACACUGGGACUGAGACACGGCCCAGACUCCUACGGGAGGCAGCAGUAGGGAAUCUUCCGCAAUGGACGAAAGUCUGACGGAGCAACGCCGCGUGAGUGAUGGAGGCUUUCGGGUCGUAAAACGCUGUUGUUAGGGAAGAACAAGUGCUAGUUGAAUAAGCUGGCACCUUGACGGUACCUAACCAGCAAGCCACGGCUAACUACGUGCCAGCCGCCGCGGUAA